GCACUGCUGCGGCGUCCCAUACUAGGACGAAACGGCCGUCCAGUAC
RNAcentral lists this non-coding RNA (46 nucleotides) under Schistosoma margrebowiei. Lineage: Eukaryota; Metazoa; Platyhelminthes; Trematoda; Strigeidida; Schistosomatidae. The record is from RNAcentral.